CCUACGGGCGGCAGCAGUGAGGAAUAUUGGUCAAUGGGCGCGAGCCUGAACCAGCCAAGUAGCGUGAAGGAUGACUGCCCUACGGGUUGUAAACUUCUUUUAUAAAGGAAUAAAGUGAGGCUAGUGUGCCUUUUUGUUUGUACUUUAUGAGUACGGACCGGCUAACUCCGUGCCAGCAGCCGCGGUGAUACGGGGGAUACGAGGGUUAACCGGAUUUUUUGGGUUGAAAGGGAGAGUAGGUGGGUUGUUAAGUCUGUUGUGAAAGUUUGCGGCUCAACCGGAAAAUUGCAAUUGAUACUGGCGGUCUUGAGUGCAGUUGAGGUAGGCGGAAUUCGUGGUGUAGCGGUGAAAUGCUUAGAUAUCACGAAGAACACCGGUUGCGAAGGCAGCUUACUAAGCUGCCACUGACAUUGAGGCUCGAAAGUGUGGGUAUCAAACAGGAUUAGAUACCCGUGUAGUC
Molecule: ribosomal RNA, 460 nt
Filed under: uncultured bacterium
Lineage: Bacteria
Description: partial 16S ribosomal RNA
Rfam family: Bacterial small subunit ribosomal RNA
Source: RNAcentral